UAACGAAUCUUCCCCAAUGCACGAAAGUGUGAGGGAGCGACGCUGCGUGGAGGAUGAAGUCCUUCGGGAUGUAAACUCCUGUCGGGAGCUACCAAGUUCUGAGGAGCUCCAAAGGAAGAGGCGGCUAACUCUGUGCCAGCAGCCGCGGUAAGACAGAGGCCUCGAGCGUUAGGCGGAAUCACUGGGCUUAAAGCGUGUGUAGGUGGAUUCUUAAGUGCUUUGUGAAAUCCCACGGCUUAACCGUGGAACUGCUUGGCAUACUGGGAAUCUUGAGCUAUCUAGGGGCAACUGGAACAGACGGUGGAGCGGUGAAAUGCGUAGAUAUCGUCUGGAACGCCAAUGGUGAAGACAGGUUGCUGGGGAUAUGCUGACACUGAGACACGAAAGCCAGGGGAGCAAACGGG
RNAcentral lists this ribosomal RNA (404 nucleotides) under uncultured bacterium. RNAcentral describes it as "bacterial SSU rRNA". It matches the Rfam family "Bacterial small subunit ribosomal RNA", at positions 355 to 776 of the family's 1533-position model. The record is from RNAcentral.